This 390-nucleotide long non-coding RNA is filed under the name Homo sapiens (human). RNAcentral describes it as "HSALNT0335998". The record is from RNAcentral. Lineage: Eukaryota; Metazoa; Chordata; Mammalia; Primates; Hominidae.
UUCAGUUGGGUCAUCCAUGUAUAAAUGAUAUGAUGCAGGAGAUGGUGAUUAAGUUGGGGGAAAGAGGGUGAAGCGGCCCUUGGAGACAACUAACACAGCCUGCCUGCCCCGACCAGGCACAGCUACAGCCAAGUCAGAGGCCCUGGGGCUGACUGGGACCCAGAAGAGAAAUGAGAGCUGGAGAAGAGGAACAGACAAGCCUCUCCAACACAGCACGGACUCUAGCUAGGCUGGCUCUGAGACUUCUAGUGACCUUGAGACCUCAUAACUUCAGAAAUCCUUUAUCCUCCAGCCUAUCAACAAUCAAGAGUCAGACAACAGUGUAUCAUGGAAUGGACAGUGGUUUGGGGCAAUCACCUAUCACCGAACCUGAUGCUCAACAUCACUGUU